AAAUUGAAGAGUUUGAUCAUGGCUCAGAUUGAACGCUGGCGGCAGGCCUAACACAUGCAAGUCGAACGGUAACAGGAAGCAGCUUGCUGCUUUGCUGACGAGUGGCGGACGGGUGAGUAAUGUCUGGGAAACUGCCCGAUGGAGGGGGAUAACUACUGGAAACGGUAGCUAAUACCGCAUAACGUCGCAAGACCAAAGAGGGGGACCUUAGGGCCUCUUGCCAUCGGAUGUGCCCAGAUGGGAUUAGCUAGUAGGUGGGGUAAUGGCUCACCUAGGCGACGAUC
RNAcentral lists this ribosomal RNA (284 nucleotides) under Escherichia coli. Its description in RNAcentral is "partial 16S ribosomal RNA". It matches the Rfam family "Bacterial small subunit ribosomal RNA", at positions 1 to 281 of the family's 1533-position model. Lineage: Bacteria; Pseudomonadati; Pseudomonadota; Gammaproteobacteria; Enterobacterales; Enterobacteriaceae. The record is from RNAcentral.